AACGUAGGAGGCGAGCGUUAUCCGGAAUCACUGGGCGUAAAGGGCGUCUAGGCGGCACGACAAGUGAGGUGUGAAAGCUCCUGGCUCAACUAGGAGAGUGCGCUUCAGACUGUCGAGCUUGGAGGGCAGGUGAAGGGGGUGGAAUUCCCGGUGGAGUGGUGGAAUGCGUAGAGAUCGGGAGGAACACCAGUGGCGAAAGCGGCCCCCUGGCCUGUUGCUGACGCUGAAGCGCGAAAGCGUGGGGAGCAAACGGG
Molecule: ribosomal RNA, 254 nt
Filed under: uncultured bacterium
Lineage: Bacteria
Description: partial 16S ribosomal RNA
Rfam family: Bacterial small subunit ribosomal RNA
Source: RNAcentral